AUUGAACGCUGGCGGCAGGCCCAACACAUGCAAGUCGGACGGUAGCACAGAGAGCUUGCUCUUGGGUGACGAGUGGCGGACGGGUGAGUAAUGUCUGGGGAUCUGCCCGAUAGAGGGGGAUAACCACUGGAAACGGUGGCUAAUACCGCAUAACGUCGCAAGACCAAAGAGGGGGACCUUCGGGCCUCUCACUAUCGGAUGAACCCAGAUGGGAUUAGCUAGUAGGCGGGGUAAUGGCCCACCUAGGCGACGAUCCCUAGCUGGUCUGAGAGGAUGACCAGCCACACUGGAACUGAGACACGGUCCAGACUCCUACGGGAGGCAGCAGUGGGGAAUAUUGUACAAUGGGCGCAAGCCUGAUGCAGCCAUGCCGCGUGUAUGAAGAAGGCCUUCGGGUUGUAAAGUACUUUCAGCGGGGAGGAAGGCUGUGAGGUUAAUAACCUCACCGAUUGACGUUACCCGCAGAAGAAGCACCGGCUAACUCCGUGCCAGCAGCCGCCGUAA
Molecule: ribosomal RNA, 504 nt
Filed under: uncultured bacterium
Lineage: Bacteria
Description: partial 16S ribosomal RNA
Rfam family: Bacterial small subunit ribosomal RNA
Source: RNAcentral